UACGUAGGGCGCAAGUGUUGUCCGGAAUUAUUGGGCGUAAAGAGCUCGUAGGCGGUUUGUCGCGUCUGCUGUGAAAACCUAAGGCUCAACCUUGGGCUUGCAGUGGGUACGGGCAGACUAGAGUGCGGUAGGGGUGACUGGAAUUCCUGGUGUAGCGGUGGAAUGCGCAGAUAUCAGGAGGAACACCGAUGGCGAAGGCAGGUCACUGGGCCGCAACUGACGCUGAGGAGCGAAAGCAUGGGGAGCGAACAGG
This 253-nucleotide ribosomal RNA is filed under the name uncultured bacterium. Its description in RNAcentral is "partial 16S ribosomal RNA". It matches the Rfam family "Bacterial small subunit ribosomal RNA", at positions 524 to 776 of the family's 1533-position model. The record is from RNAcentral.